CCUACGGGAGGCUGCAGUAAGGAAUAUUGGUCAAUGGACGCAAGUCUGAACCAGCCAUGCCGCGUGGAGGAUGAAGGUCCUCUGGAUUGUAAACUUCUUUUAUUUGGGAAGAAACUCCCGAUUUCCAUCGGGAUUGACGGUACCAGAUGAAUAAGCACCGGCUAACUCCGUGCCAGCAGCCGCGGUAAUACGGCGGGUGCAAGCGUUAUCCGGAUUAACGGGGUUGAAGGGGUGCAGGGAUGUGCAGGUAGACAUCUCCUGACUUAACCCGGAAACUGCCAUUGAUACUAUUUGUCUUGAAUACUCUGGAGGUGAGCGGAAUAUGUCAUGUAGCGGUGAAAUGCUUAGAUAUGACAUAGAACACCCAUUGCGAAGGCAGCUCACUACGGAAAUAUUGACGCUGAGGCACGAAAGCGUGGGGAUCAAACAGGAUUAGAUACCCGAGUAGUC
RNAcentral lists this ribosomal RNA (450 nucleotides) under uncultured bacterium. RNAcentral's name for it is "partial 16S ribosomal RNA". It matches the Rfam family "Bacterial small subunit ribosomal RNA", at positions 338 to 795 of the family's 1533-position model. The record is from RNAcentral.